Molecule: long non-coding RNA, 1579 nt
Organism: Bos taurus (domestic cattle)
Lineage: Eukaryota; Metazoa; Chordata; Mammalia; Artiodactyla; Bovidae
Source: Ensembl
CUCUUCACCUGCAGACUCUGGUGCCUUCCAUCUGCCACUCCUGGGAGGCUGUGCACCCCAAAUUGGAUCAAACGCCUGGUGGAUGUUUUACCGACUGAGCUAGGAGGGAAGCCAGACAAUAAAAGCGGCAGACAUCUGGAGGUAGAGAUAACAGGUGAUGAGCAAGUACCCAUCUGAAGCAUCGCCUGUCCCUCAGCUCAGGUCAGACCUCUCCUCCCUCAGUGCCUGUUUCCUGGCCUGCAAAACCAGGACAACGUUAAAUCACUUCACUUAUUCCCUCCAUGAAUGAGUAUAGAGUCAGGCCCAGAGACUGGGGCCAAGAGCUAGGAAAACGAAAUACUACAGCCCUUCAACUAAAAGCACCUGUGCCUCCCUAUUGAGCCGUCUUCUGAGCUUGCAGAGGGCCUUCACGUCUGACCCCACCCAGCCCGGGAGGGAGGAAACCUCCAGAUGAAAACUCCAAGGAUGCGGGGCUUCAGUGCUCUGUCCACAGCUCCAUAACCACUCAUGGCUGGACCGGGCUAUGGAAUUGGGUCUCCAAGGCAUGUAGUUAUAGUGAGAAGACGGCCAUCUGUGAGGAAGUGGGUUCUCACCAGACACCCAACCUGCGGCACCUUGACCGUGGACUUCCAUCCUGCUCAUCGGAACCUGUGUCCUUGGAGAACUGAGCUUCCAUGCGUGAAAUCCCACUCUCCUAAGAUGACAUCCCCGAGAGACCAUGUGGCAAGCUCUGGAUGGCAGCCCCCGCCACGCCCAUGCUUCAGAGAGAGACCUGAUGAAAGCCAGAGUAGUGUCUGAUACCUGCAACUUAAUCUGCCUGGGGCAGAGUCCACUCACCCUGCUUAGAUAACUGAUCAAACCUGAUGCUGAUCCAUUUCAGAGACCGCAUCCCAGCCUUUUCACUGAUUCUCUGUGCUCCCCAGAACUCUUCCAGUAAAUGCCCUUUGCUUUGCCAAAAUUGCUUUCUGUUGCUUGCAACCAGAAAACCCCAACCGAAAUAAAAGUUAAGUUGCAAAUUACAAGGAUAUGUUCUAUUUAAUCCCAUGUUUGAAGAACUCACUUUUCAGAUGAUCAACAGUGUAGAAAAGAAUGAUGAUUUCCAUAGGAUGGAAAGAUGUAAUUAGGAAUUUUUUUUUUUUGGUCUUUAGGAGUGGCUUUUUUGUAUUGAAAAGAAUAUUCAGGAGCUACUUUGUACUUAAAGUUAAUACUCAGGUAAUUCAAAGCCUUGGUUUUCUUGAAGUUUUUAAGUUCAAUUUAGAAAUAAGUUCUAUUUAUAAAUCUUUCAAAUUUUCACAAAUGAUUUUAAGAACACUUUCAUAAUUUAAUUGAAUUCCUUUAAAUAUUUUUAGCUGUACUGAUAAAGCCAGCACACUCAAUUUCCUUUUUAAAGUAAGUCAGUGGCUGGCAAACCGAACAACUUUUCCAAGUACCUAAGAAAUUCUUAGAAAUCUAAUAAAAUUUAUCGAGAUGAUGAUUAAACUCUUCUACAUAUUCCUAUGUUGUUUAAAGACUAAAGCUGUCUUGGACAUUUCAGCUUAAAAUCUAGAUGAACUGCUCAGUCCUCUAAUAAGCCAAAUUC